Molecule: ribosomal RNA, 529 nt
Filed under: uncultured bacterium
Lineage: Bacteria
Description: partial 16S ribosomal RNA
Rfam family: Bacterial small subunit ribosomal RNA
Source: RNAcentral
UGGGGAAUAUUGCACAAUGGGCGCAAGCCUGAUGCAGCCAUGCCGCGUGUGUGAAGAAGGCCUUCGGGUUGUAAAGCACUUUCAGCGAGGAGGAAGGUGGUGGACUUAAUACGUUCAUCAAUUGACGUUACUCGCAGAAGAAGCACCGGCUAACUCCGUGCCAGCAGCCGCGGUAAUACGGAGGGUGCAAGCGUUAAUCGGAAUUACUGGGCGUAAAGCGCACGCAGGCGGUUUGUUAAGUCAGAUGUGAAAUCCCCGGGCUCAACCUGGGAACUGCAUUUGAAACUGGCAAGCUAGAGUCUCGUAGAGGGGGGUAGAAUUCCAGGUGUAGCGGUGAAAUGCGUAGAGAUCUGGAGGAAUACCGGUGGCGAAGGCGGCCCCCCUGGACGAAGACUGACGCUCAGGUGCGAAAGCGUGGGGAGCAAACAGAUUAGAUACCCUGGUAGUCCACGCUGUAAAACGAUGUCGAUUUUGGAGGUUGUGCCCCUUGAGGCGUGGNUUCCGGAGCUAACGNGUUAAAUCGACCGCC